AGCGGCGUAGGCCCGUGCCCCUGCUCGCGCUGCAGCCCGUGGAAGGGUUCCGUCCAGCGUAUCCUUCAGAUCUUGCUGUAGGCCUCUCGUGUCUGCGCGCGCGGCAGGGGCGGUGGCGGCGACGGCCGGAGGUGUACGGUCAGCAGGUUGCGGAGGAUCGUGCGGGUAGCAAAGGCAGGCCGAGUGCUCCUGCGGCUCCCAGAGGGCAACCAGAACAUGCAUCAUUAUUAGAACCAUCACCCUGCAGCUAGCUUGGAUACCAUUAAAAGGGCUCAUCAGCUGCAAACGGAUUAAAGUAUCUGGUACUCGGGAAGACAGAGUUUCAGGGUUUCUACCUGGAGCUACACCCUCAGGAAGCCCCUCCUUGGCCUCCCUUCACCCAGUCCCAUCCCAACCAGUCACAACUUGGGCUGUGCGUGGUGUUUCUUGGAAACUGGAACACAGACUCCUCCAGCAGCUCCACAGGCCCCUUGUCCUCAAUGAGCAG
RNAcentral lists this small RNA (487 nucleotides) under Pongo abelii (Sumatran orangutan). RNAcentral describes it as "processed transcript". Lineage: Eukaryota; Metazoa; Chordata; Mammalia; Primates; Hominidae. The record is from RNAcentral.